GACGAACGCUGGCGGCGUGCCUAAUACAUGCAAGUAGAACGCUGAAGGAGGAGCUUGCUUCUCUGGAUGAGUUGCGAACGGGUGAGUAACGCGUAGGUAACCUGCCUGGUAGCGGGGGAUAACUAUUGGAAACGAUAGCUAAUACCGCAUAAUAGCAGUUGUUGCAUGACAACUGUUUGAAAGGUGCAAUUGCACCACUACCAGAUGGACCUGCGUUGUAUUAGCUAGUUGGUGGGGUAACGGCUCACCAAGGCGACGAUACAUAGCCGACCUGAGAGGGUGAUCGGCCACACUGGGACUGAGACACGGCCCAGACUCCUACGGGAGGCAGCAGUAGGGAAUCUUCGGCAAUGGACGGAAGUCUGACCGAGCAACGCCGCGUGAGUGAAGAAGGUUUUCGAAUCGUAAAGCUCUGUUGUAAGAGAAGAACGAGUGUGAGAGUGGAAAGUUCACACUGUGACGGUAUCUUACCAGAAAGGGACGGCUAACUACGUG
This 495-nucleotide ribosomal RNA is filed under the name uncultured bacterium. RNAcentral describes it as "partial 16S ribosomal RNA". It matches the Rfam family "Bacterial small subunit ribosomal RNA", at positions 28 to 507 of the family's 1533-position model. The record is from RNAcentral.